UUUUGAACUACUUCUAGAUCCAUUGGAAUGAUAUAAGUUUGCUCCACACCAUUGUUAGAAAUUUGUCCUAUUGGAUCCGUAUCAUUCCCUCUUUCUUUAGAAAAGAUUCGUCCUCGAAUCUUGUUGAUAUUUAUGUCAAGAAGGAAAGCUUUAGGCACCCAUGUAUCUUCACAGACCUCCUUUUGAAUAGGUGGAAAUAGUAUAAAACUUUCAUCAUGGAUGUUUUCAUCAACAACCUGCACAUCAAGAACAAAUAAACUAGACAUAAAAAAUAUUAGUCAUAGAAAGAUCAUGUGGAUGUGACCCAUUCUCCUCUAUAACUUCCAAAACAGUCUUAUUCACCUCCUCCACCUCAUCAAUCAUGUGCUCCCCAUGUCCACCAUCAUUCACAACCUCUUCUAUAAGCUCAUUAAUG
RNAcentral lists this long non-coding RNA (415 nucleotides) under Manihot esculenta (cassava). RNAcentral describes it as "long non-coding RNA (MESC_LNC012543)". The record is from RNAcentral. Lineage: Eukaryota; Viridiplantae; Streptophyta; Magnoliopsida; Malpighiales; Euphorbiaceae.